AUUGAACGCUGGCGGAAUGCUUUACACAUGCAAGUCGAACGGCAGCACGGGUGCUUGCACCUGGUGGCGAGUGGCGAACGGGUGAGUAAUACAUCGGAACGUACCCAGUUGUGGGGGAUAACUAACCGAAAGGUUAGCUAAUACCGCAUACGACCUGAGGGUGAAAGCGGGGGACCGUAAGGCCUCGCGCAAUUGGAGCGGCCGAUGUCUGAUUAGCUAGCUGGUAGGGUAAAGGCCUACCAAGGCGACGAUCAGUAGCUGGUCUGAGAGGAUGAUCAGCCACACUGGAACUGAGACACGGUCCAGACUCCUACGGGAGGCAGCAGUGGGGAAUUUUGGACAAUGGGCGAAAGCCUGAUCCAGCCAUUCCGCGUGAGUGAAGAAGGCCUUCGGGUUGUAAAGCUCUUUCGGCAGGGAAGAAACGGCCUAGGUUAAUACCUUGGGCUAAUGACGGUACCUGAAGAAGAAGCACCGGCUAACUUCGUGCCAGCAGCCGCCGUAA
RNAcentral lists this ribosomal RNA (502 nucleotides) under uncultured bacterium. RNAcentral's name for it is "partial 16S ribosomal RNA". It matches the Rfam family "Bacterial small subunit ribosomal RNA", at positions 30 to 523 of the family's 1533-position model. The record is from RNAcentral.